UUGUCCAAUUCAGAAACCUGUGGUGAC
RNAcentral lists this non-coding RNA (27 nucleotides) under Rattus norvegicus (Norway rat). The record is from RNAcentral. Lineage: Eukaryota; Metazoa; Chordata; Mammalia; Rodentia; Muridae.